UGCAGUCGGANGGUAGCACAGAGGANCUUGCUCCUCGGGUGACGAGUGGNGGACGGGUGAGUAGUGUCNGGGGAUCUGCCCGAUAGAGGGGGAUAACCACUGGAAACGGUGGCUAAUACCGCAUAACGUCGCAAGACCAAAGAGGGGGACCUUCGGGCCUCUCACUAUCGGAUGAACCCANAUGGGAUUAGCUAGUANGCGGGGUAACGGCCCACCUANGCGACNAUCCCUAGCUGGUCUGAGAGGAUGACCAGCCACACUGGAACUGANACACGGUCCAGACUCCUACGGGAGGCAGCAGUGGGGAAUAUUGCACAGUGGGCGCAAGCCUGAUGCACCCAUGCCGCGUGUAUGAANAANGCCUUCGGGUUGUAAAGUACUUUCAGCGGGGANGAAGGCGAUGUGGUUAAUAACCGCAUUGAUUGACGUUACCCGCAAAAGAAGCACCGGCUAACUCCGUGCCANCANCCGCGGUAAUACNGAGGGUGCAAGCGUUAAUCNGAAUUACUGGGCGUAAAGCGCAC
This 524-nucleotide ribosomal RNA is filed under the name Pantoea sp. Its description in RNAcentral is "partial 16S ribosomal RNA". It matches the Rfam family "Bacterial small subunit ribosomal RNA", at positions 56 to 570 of the family's 1533-position model. Lineage: Bacteria; Pseudomonadati; Pseudomonadota; Gammaproteobacteria; Enterobacterales; Erwiniaceae. The record is from RNAcentral.